GAUGAAGAACGUAGCGAAAUGCGAUAAGUAAUGUGAAUUGCAGAAUUCAGUGAAUCAUCGAAUCUUUGAACGCACAUUGCGCCCCCUGGUAUUCCGGGGGGCAUGCCUGUUCGAGCGUCAUUACAACCCUCAAGCUCUGCUUGGUGUUGGGCCCCGCCGCCCCGGCGGGCCCUAAAAUCAGUGGCGGUGCCGUCCGGCUCCGAGCGUAGUAAUUCUUCUCGCUCUGGAGGUCCGGGUGUGUGCUCGCCAGCAACCCCCAAUUUUUUUCAGGUUGACCUUGGAUCAGGUAGGGAUACCCGCUGAACUUAAGCAUAUCAAUAAGCGGAGGA
This 329-nucleotide unclassified non-coding RNA is filed under the name soil metagenome. Its description in RNAcentral is "partial contains 5.8S ribosomal RNA, internal transcribed spacer 2, and large subunit ribosomal RNA". The stretch from base 1 to 120 matches the Rfam family "5.8S ribosomal RNA", at positions 35 to 154 of the family's 154-position model. The record is from RNAcentral.